GACGAACGCUGACGGCGUGCCUAAUACAUGCAAGUCGAACGAACCGCGACUAGGUGCUUGCACUUGGUCAAGGUGAGUGGCGAACGGGUGAGUAACACGUGGGUAACCUACCUCAUAGUGGGGGAUAACAGUCGGAAACGACUGCUAAUACCGCAUAGGACAUAGGAUCACAUGAUCCAGUGAGGAAAGGUGGCGCAAGCUAUCGCUAAGAGAUGGACCCGCGGUGCAUUAGCUAGUUGGUAGGGUAAAGGCCUACCAAGGCGAUGAUGCAUAGCCGACCUGAGAGGGUGAUCGGCCACAUUGGGACUGAGACACGGCCCAAACUCCUACGGGAGGCAGCAGUAGGGAAUCUUCCGCAAUGGACGCAAGUCUGACGGAGCAACGCCGCGUGAGUGAAGAAGGUCUUCGGAUCGUAAAGCUCUGUUGUUAGAGAAGAACAGCGCAUAGAGUAACUGUUAUGCGUGUGACGGUAUCUAACCAGAAAGCCACGGCUAACUACGUG
Molecule: ribosomal RNA, 502 nt
Filed under: uncultured bacterium
Lineage: Bacteria
Description: partial 16S ribosomal RNA
Rfam family: Bacterial small subunit ribosomal RNA
Source: RNAcentral